AGCUGGUUCAUUGCACUUUAUUCAAGCUGGUUCAUCUCAUCAUACACAAAAUGCAACAAGCAGACAUUCAAAAAAAAUUUCAGUUGUUAAUCCAGGAAAAUCUAAUAAAUACGUAGUUGCAACAUCUAAUACUGAACGAUACAUUUCACUUGGUAAACUACAGGAAAUACAGCGUGAAAAAGCUAAGGACAAACUACAAUCUUCAAUUCGUGCAAGAGAUUCUACACCGUUUCCAACCCAAGAAAGCAUCAAUUACUCAUUGGAUUCAUGAAUUAGUUUUUAUUAUUGUGUAUUAGUGCUUAAUACGGUUUGGGUACAUGUGUUUUUAGACAAA
This is a long non-coding RNA of Ipomoea nil (Japanese morning glory), 334 nucleotides long. RefSeq lists it as uncharacterized. The transcript is spliced from 3 exons. The record is from RefSeq and is a predicted model, not a curated record. Lineage: Eukaryota; Viridiplantae; Streptophyta; Magnoliopsida; Solanales; Convolvulaceae.